AACGAACGCUGGCGGCAGGCUUAACACAUGCAAGUCGAACGGGCGUAGCAAUACGUCAGUGGCGGACGGGUGAGUAACACGUGGGAAUGUGCCUUUCGGUUCGGAACAACUCGGGGAAACUCGUGCUAAUUCCGGAUACGCCCUUACGGGAAGAUUUAUCGCCGAAAGAUCAGCCCGCGUCCGAUUAGCUAGUUGGUGAGGUAAAGGCUCACCAAGGCACCGAUCGGUAGCUGGUUUGAGAGAACGACCAGCCACACUGGGACUGAGACACGGCCCAGACUCCUACGGGAGGCAGCAGUGGGGAAUCUUGGACAAUGGGCGCAAGCCUGAUCCAGCCAUGCCGCGUGAGUGAUGAA
This 356-nucleotide ribosomal RNA is filed under the name uncultured bacterium. RNAcentral describes it as "bacterial SSU rRNA". It matches the Rfam family "Bacterial small subunit ribosomal RNA", at positions 29 to 412 of the family's 1533-position model. The record is from RNAcentral.